CAAACGUGUGCACGCCGUGACUUGUACAACAUGCACGCGAACAGAUCGCAAACCACUCGUGAUCACUUUUACGUCCACAGUG
Molecule: long non-coding RNA, 82 nt
Organism: Maniola jurtina (meadow brown)
Lineage: Eukaryota; Metazoa; Arthropoda; Insecta; Lepidoptera; Nymphalidae
Exons: 3
Source: RefSeq, a predicted model, not a curated record